RNAcentral lists this ribosomal RNA (170 nucleotides) under uncultured cyanobacterium. RNAcentral describes it as "partial 16S ribosomal RNA". It matches the Rfam family "Bacterial small subunit ribosomal RNA", at positions 335 to 520 of the family's 1533-position model. Lineage: Bacteria; Bacillati; Cyanobacteriota. The record is from RNAcentral.
ACUCCUACGGGAGGCAGCAGUGAGGAAUUUUCUGCAAUGGGCGAAAGCCUGACAGAGCAAUACCGCGUGAGGGGUGAAGGCCUACGGGUUGUAAACCUCUUUUCUCAAGGAGGAAGAUCUGACGUUACUUGAGGAAUAAGCAUCGGCUAACCCUGUGCCAGCAGCCGCGG